GCAAAACGCGAAGAACCUUACCCACCUUUGACAUGUACGGAAUCCUUUAGAGAUAGAGGAGUGCUCGAAAGAGAGCCGUAACACAGGUGCUGCAUGGCUGUCGUCGGCUCGUGUCGUGAGAUGUUGGGUUAAGUCCCGCAACGAGCGCAACCCUUGCCAUUAGUUGCUACGAAAGGGCACUCUAAUGGGACUGCCGGUGACAAACCGGAGGAAGGUGGGGAUGACGUCAAGUCCUCAUGGCCCUUAUAGGUGGGGCUACACACGUCAUACAAUGGCUGGUACAAAGGGUUGCCAACCCGCGAGGGGGAGCUAAUCCCAUAAAGCCAGUCGUAGUCCGGAUCGCAGUCUGCAACUCGACUGCGUGAAGUCGGAAUCGCUAGUAAUCGUGGAUCAGAAUGUCACGGUGAAUACGUUCCCGGGUCUUGUACACACCG
RNAcentral lists this ribosomal RNA (434 nucleotides) under uncultured bacterium. Its description in RNAcentral is "bacterial SSU rRNA". It matches the Rfam family "Bacterial small subunit ribosomal RNA", at positions 954 to 1392 of the family's 1533-position model. The record is from RNAcentral.